This is a non-coding RNA of Cladorrhinum sp. PSN332, 138 nucleotides long. The record is from the annotation of a GenBank genome assembly. NCBI's taxonomy places the organism in Eukaryota, Fungi, Ascomycota, Sordariomycetes, Sordariales, Podosporaceae.
GGGGGUGUGGUCUAGUGGUCUAAGGCGUUCUUCCCUAUUGAUGUCCAAACCCAUGGGCACUGAACCACAACAAUGUAUGUACAUAGGCACGAGCAACCAGGGGAAGAAAAGACGCAGGUUUGAAUCCUGCUACCUCCA